CUAAACUGAACUCGGUACGUCCGUUCACGGAAACAAACAAAGAACCUCGGGUAAAUACCUAAACUUGCCAACUAGGCUCAUGCGUUAACGCUCUUAAAUCGGAAGACUGG
Maniola jurtina (meadow brown) is the source of this 110-nucleotide long non-coding RNA. RefSeq lists it as uncharacterized. The record is from RefSeq and is a predicted model, not a curated record. Lineage: Eukaryota; Metazoa; Arthropoda; Insecta; Lepidoptera; Nymphalidae. The transcript is spliced from 3 exons.